UGGGGAAUAUUGCACAAUGGGCGCAAGCCUGAUGCAGCAACGCCGCGUGAGGGAAGACGGUUUUCGGAUUGUAAACCUCUGUCUUUGGUGACGAAGAAGUGACGGUAGCCAAGGAGGAAGCCACGGCUAACUACGUGCCAGCAGCCGCGGUAAUACGUAGGUGGCAAGCGUUAUCCGGAAUUACUGGGUGUAAAGGGAGCGCAGGCGGGAUAACAAGUCAGCGGUGAAAUUUAUGGGCUCAACCCAUAAACUGCCGUUGAAACUGUUAUUCUUGAGUGGAGUAGAGGCAGGCGGAAUUCCGAGUGUAGCGGUGAAAUGCGUAGAUAUUCGGAGGAACACCAGUGGCGAAGGCGGCCUGCUGGGCUCUAACUGACGCUGAGGCUCGAAAGUGUGGGGAGCAAACAGG
This 406-nucleotide ribosomal RNA is filed under the name uncultured prokaryote. Its description in RNAcentral is "bacterial SSU rRNA". It matches the Rfam family "Bacterial small subunit ribosomal RNA", at positions 355 to 776 of the family's 1533-position model. RNAcentral also lists the same sequence under 1 other name. The record is from RNAcentral.